CUGGCUCAGGAUUAACGCUGGCGGCGUGCCUAAUACAUGCAAGUCGGAUGGUUAGCUUGCUAACCAUGGCGAACGGGUGAGUAACACGUAGGUAACCUGUCUAAGACACGAGGAUAACCAUUGGAAACGAUGGAUAAUACUGGAUAGGACAUUUGGAGGCAUCUUUGGAUGUUUAAAGAUUUAUCGGUAAUAGAGGGGCCUGCGGCGCAUUAGCUAGUUGGCGGGGUGAAGGCCCACCAAGGCGAUGAUGCGUAGCCGGACUGAGAGGUUGAACGGCCACAAUGGGACUGAGAACGGCCCAUACUCCUACGGGAGGCAGCAGUAGGGAAUUUUCGGCAAUGGGCGGAAGCCUGACCGAGCAACGCCGCGUGAACGAAGAAGUAUUUCGGUAUGUAAAGUUCUUUUAUUUGGGACGAAAAAUUAAAAUUGACUGUACCAAAUGAAUAAGCUCCGGCUAACUACGUGCCAGCCGCUGC
This 476-nucleotide ribosomal RNA is filed under the name uncultured bacterium. RNAcentral's name for it is "bacterial SSU rRNA". It matches the Rfam family "Bacterial small subunit ribosomal RNA", at positions 19 to 518 of the family's 1533-position model. The record is from RNAcentral.